UACAUGGGGUGCAAACGUUGCUCGGAAUCAUUGGGCGUAAAGCGCGCGUAGGCGGUUACUUAAGUCGGAUGUGAAAGCCCUCGGCUUAACUGAGGAAGUGCAUCCGAAACUGAGUAGCUAGAGUACGAAAGAGGGUCGCGGAAUUCCCGGUGUAGAGGUGAAAUUCGUAGAUAUCGGGAGGAACACCGGUGGCGAAGGCGGCGACCUGGGUCGAGACUGACGCUGAGGCGCGAAAGCGUGGGGAGCAAACAGG
RNAcentral lists this ribosomal RNA (253 nucleotides) under uncultured bacterium. RNAcentral describes it as "partial 16S ribosomal RNA". It matches the Rfam family "Bacterial small subunit ribosomal RNA", at positions 524 to 776 of the family's 1533-position model. The record is from RNAcentral.